AUUAGUUCAAUAUAUAUAGUGUAUAGGAGGCACAGUACAAUAAGCGGAAAGAUCUCAUAUAUUAAAUCAACUAUGUUGCAUUACACUGAACACGAUCCAAACAUUACAAGAUGUGAAGCUAUCUACUAGUAGCAAACUUCUCGACCUUCGAAUCAACUAUAAUGUUUGAAACAUCGUACUGAAAAUGACACUCUAAUUAUCCCCAUUAUCUGCCUUGCAAUCAACAUCUGAGCCAUGCAUCAACCAUUUAUCUCGGCAAUCUACAAAAACAAAUAAUGAGAUGAGUAACUUACGGUAUAGAAAAUCAGGUUAAUAGAGAACAAAAAUGUAGAGGAGCAACAUACAAAUGUUGAAGGCCAUCACAUUAGUAACAUUCUAAGCAAUCUACAUCUCACACACUUCCGAUCCUUGUUUUCUUAUGAAGAAACCUGCUAGAUGUCAAUUGAGUUCUAGUAAAUCUUGAAGCAAACAUACAGUAUGUAAGAUAUGAGGUACUUCCUUUGAAAAAAAAUGUGCUGACAUACCACACAACCUUCGUUUUCACACAGAGAUCAGCAGUUCUCCUAAACAAAUAGAUGCAAUGUUUCAACAAUUUAAAAAUACUUUAUGUUCUAAGAAACAAUAUAAGCAUCAAGUUAAAAAGGAACAAUAUAGGCAUCAAAUUAAAAAGGAACAAUAUAAGCAUCAAGUACAAUAUACUAUGUACAGUCAUACAAAUGCAUGUCAUGUGUCUGGUGCAAUUCUAUCAUGAAUAAUGUACUGGUUAUCAUUUGUGAAUUAUGUGAAGGUCACAUCUUAAGUGGAUUUUGAGUUAACUUCUUCUGAGCGCUCCUUCCUCAUUAUAUUUGCUCCCUUGAUCUCUUCCUUCCUACUCAAUGGUUACAUUUUUAGUACAACAAUAGCAAGGCAAAUUUUAGUACAGCAAUGCAAAAAUUUAGUAACAAGAUAAUUUAGUAAAACAAGGUAAAUUUUAGAACAAAAGUAAUAGAGUAAACUUUAGAACAGGAAGUCUAACUAUCUUGAAAAAAUAGGAUACUAGUCUCUCCAACCUACAGGACCCUUAGCACUCCGUAUUAAAUUGCACAUAUCAGUUUAGUACAAUAUUUAUAUCAGCAUAAAAUCUAUAAGGAGUUUCAUAAGAUAUCAAGCAUAGCAUUGCAUCAAAAUAGCAUAAGUAGUAAUGUAGAUUGGGAAUUUAC
Molecule: long non-coding RNA, 1199 nt
Filed under: Triticum aestivum (bread wheat)
Lineage: Eukaryota; Viridiplantae; Streptophyta; Magnoliopsida; Poales; Poaceae
Description: long non-coding RNA (TAES_LNC000014)
Source: RNAcentral